Molecule: ribosomal RNA, 460 nt
Filed under: uncultured bacterium
Lineage: Bacteria
Description: partial 16S ribosomal RNA
Rfam family: Bacterial small subunit ribosomal RNA
Source: RNAcentral
CCUACGGGAGGCAGCAGUGAGGAAUAUUGGUCAAUGGGCGGAAGCCUGAACCAGCCAAGUCGCGUGAGGGAUUAAGGCCCUGCGGGUCGUAAACCUCUUUUGCCGGGGAGCAGUGGGCCUGACGCGUCCGGACCGGGAGAGUACCCGGAGAAAAAGCAUCGGCUAACUCCGUGCCAGCAGCCGCGGUAAUACGGAGGAUGCGAGCGUUAUCCGGAUUUAUUGGGUUGAGAGGGUGGGUGGUCGGUCAUUUAAGCCGGCGGUAAACUUGCGGGUCCAAACCCCGCAUUGCCGUGGAAACUGGAGUCCUUGAGUGCGCGAGAAGUAGGCGGAAUGCGUGGUGUAGCGGUGAAAUGCAUAGAUAUCACGAAGAACGCCGAUUGCGAAGGCAGCAUACUGGCGCGCAACUGACGCUGAUGCACGAAAGCGUGGGUAUCGAACAGGAUUAGAUACCCUAGUAGUC